Conger conger (European conger) is the source of this 465-nucleotide long non-coding RNA. RefSeq lists it as uncharacterized. NCBI's taxonomy places the organism in Eukaryota, Metazoa, Chordata, Actinopteri, Anguilliformes, Congridae. The record is from RefSeq and is a predicted model, not a curated record. The transcript is spliced from 3 exons.
GCUUCCCUAACUGAGCAGGUAUCUUAUCGGUUAACGCCAAGUUCAGUGUUCAAAUCAAGUUCAAAGCGCAGAAAAAAGGUCAUCGAGACUUCUGGACACUGUUCAGUGUCUGACUGCAUUACGAAAUUCGUCCAGGAGUAACAUUCUUCAAACGGUAUGUGACCUGAGAGCAUACGAUUGAAGGUGAGGAUUACAGUCUUCCCCUGAGCUCUGGGCCUGUUGGCAGAUUCUGCGUGUGAUGUCAUUGGGUUCCUCCUCUUCUGCACGGCCACUUUAGUGCCCUGCACCCUCACCUGACUCUCUGGGGCGUGGCUACUCCAGUCCUGAUUGGUUCCUCUGGUCUUUUCCGUCUCCCCUCCUAAUCCAACAGACACAGCGACACACGACUUGUCAUUCUCAAACGCGCUUGUACAAUGAAAGAGUUCACUGGAAUUAAACUUACAUUUCUGCUGCCAGCGCAGGAAA